This 252-nucleotide ribosomal RNA is filed under the name uncultured Ruminococcus sp. RNAcentral's name for it is "partial 16S ribosomal RNA". It matches the Rfam family "Bacterial small subunit ribosomal RNA", at positions 524 to 776 of the family's 1533-position model. Lineage: Bacteria; Bacillati; Bacillota; Clostridia; Eubacteriales; Oscillospiraceae. The record is from RNAcentral.
UACGUAGGGAGCGAGCGUUGUCCGGAAUUACUGGGUGUAAAGGGAGCGUAGGCGGGGAUGCAAGUUGGGUGUCAAAACUACCGGCUCAACUGGUAGUCGCACUCAAAACUGCAGCUCUUGAGUGAAGUAGAGGCAGGCGGAAUUCCUAGUGUAGCGGUGAAAUGCUUAGAGAUCAUACAGAACACCGAUUGCGAAGGCAGCUUACCAAACUAUAUCUGACGUUGAGGCACGAAAGCGUGGGGAGCAAACAGG